CUUCCGGUCGGCGCCGCCUGCGGAGGGCUCCGCGGCAGGCGGAGACGCGGGAGGCCAGCUAUGGCCGCGGAGGGGGCGAGCUGGGGUCUGGAUCUUGGAGGCUGACGAAAUGCGGUGACUGAGGAGAGGCGCCUCUGGUCGAGCUCUUGCCGUGUGUUCCGCACCUGCCUUUCCUGCCGCCGCCUCCCAUUAAGACAGGGCUUCGCCAUGUUGGUCAAGCUGGUCUUGAACUCCGGACUUCAGGUGAUCCACCUGCCUUGGACACCCAAAGUGUUGGGAUUACGGGAGUGAGCCCCCACGCCCGGCCGUAAUUGUUAAAUUUUAAAGUGGCUAGCAUUCUGGGUCAUCACUGUGCAGUAGAAGUAUAAGCCAGCCACUUAUACUUGGUCAGCGAGAUAUUGCAUCUCAAGUCGGACUGGCUACAUUUCAAGGGCUAAACCAUCACAUGUUGCCAGUGGCUGCUGCAUUAGACUGUGCCAUGCUGGAUGGUCCACUUACAACUGGAUUUUCUUCUACUGCUGCCACUCAUGAGACAAGACCAACCCCUCCUCUCCUGCCGCUGCCACCACCUACUCUGAGUGAUGAGGACGAAGAUGAAAACCAUUAUGAUCCACUUCCACUUAAUGGAUGAUGAAUGUAUUUUCUCUUUGUAAUGAUUUUUUUUUCCCUUGGAGACAAGG
This is a long non-coding RNA of Cebus imitator (Panamanian white-faced capuchin), 680 nucleotides long. RefSeq lists it as uncharacterized. The record is from RefSeq and is a predicted model, not a curated record. The transcript is spliced from 4 exons. NCBI's taxonomy places the organism in Eukaryota, Metazoa, Chordata, Mammalia, Primates, Cebidae.